AGGAUGAACGCUAGCGACAGGCCUAACACAUGCAAGUCGAGGGGCAGCACGGUGUAGCAAUACAUGGGUGGCGACCGGCGCACGGGUGAGUAACGCGUAUGCAACCUGCCUACUACAAGGGGAUAACCCGUUGAAAGACGGACUAAUACCCUAUAACACAGGGAAUCCGCAUGGAUAUAUUUGUUAAAGAUUUAUCGGUAGUAGAUGGGCAUGCGUUCCAUUAGCUUGUUGGUGAGGUAACGGCUCACCAAGGCAACGAUGGAUAGGGGAACUGAGAGGUUGGUCCCCCACACUGGUACUGAGACACGGACCAGACUCCUACGGGAGGCAGCAGUGAGGAAUAUUGGUCAAUGGGCGGGAGCCUGAACCAGCCAAGUCGCGUGAAGGAAGAAGGAUCUAUGGUUCGUAAACUUCUUUUGCAGGGGAAUAAAGUGCAGGACGUGUCCUGUUUUGUAUGUACCCUGAGAAUAAGGAUCGGCUAACUCCGUG
This 489-nucleotide ribosomal RNA is filed under the name uncultured bacterium. RNAcentral's name for it is "bacterial SSU rRNA". It matches the Rfam family "Bacterial small subunit ribosomal RNA", at positions 26 to 507 of the family's 1533-position model. The record is from RNAcentral.